RNAcentral lists this long non-coding RNA (280 nucleotides) under Ananas comosus (pineapple). Its description in RNAcentral is "long non-coding RNA (ACOM_LNC044322)". Lineage: Eukaryota; Viridiplantae; Streptophyta; Magnoliopsida; Poales; Bromeliaceae. The record is from RNAcentral.
CUCGAGAUCUUCUUCGAGAAUCAAGUUGAUGUUUGAUUAGAAGACAAACCCUCAUAGCUUAUGGUAUUCAAAGGUUAAAUCAUCACAAAUCUUCGAUUCUACAAGCUCCGGAAGGAGGUUCGGCGCGUGGAUUUCGCGUGAAGCCGAGGAUUCGGUGGACGCUUUGAGGAGUUGAGGCGUUGACGCUGCGAGGAGUUGCAGCAAGGUCGGUUGGUGGAUUCCUAUCGAUCGAGGACCGACGAAGAUCACCAUCAACAAGAAAUCGGUAAAUUGAGUCGUG